This 460-nucleotide ribosomal RNA is filed under the name uncultured bacterium. RNAcentral describes it as "partial 16S ribosomal RNA". It matches the Rfam family "Bacterial small subunit ribosomal RNA", at positions 338 to 795 of the family's 1533-position model. The record is from RNAcentral.
CCUACGGGAGGCAGCAGUGAGGAAUAUUGGGCAAUGGGCGCGAGCCUGAACCAGCCAAGUCGCGUGAGGGAAGACGGCCCUAUGGAUUGUAAACCUCUUUAGCCGGGGAGCAACGCGGGGCACGUGUGGCCGGAGGGAGAGUACCCGCAGAAUAAGCAUCGGCUAACUCCGUGCCAGCAGCCGCGGUAAUACGGGGGAUGCGAGCGUUAUCCGGAUUUAUUGGGGUAAAAGGGUGCGUAGGCGGAACGUUAAGUCAGCGGUAAAAUGUCCGGGCUCAACCCGGGCCGGCCGUUGAAACUGGGGAUCUUGAGUGGGAGAGAAGUAUGCGGAAUGCGUGGUGUAGCGGUGAAAUGCAUAGAUAUCACGCAGAACACCGAUUGCGAAGGCAGCAUGCCGGCGCCCGACUGACGCUGAGGCACGAAAGCGUGGGGAUCGAACAGGAUUAGAUACCCGAGUAGUC